AGAGUGAAAUACAGUCACUUGCUGCGUCCUGUGUAAACAAUCAAUUUGGUGUGGAGAGUUAAUGGGACGAAGCUCGCCUUUAUCUCAUUAUUUACCGAAUUUCCACAAUGUCUUAAUAAGCCAGUGUGUCAUCGCCCAUUCAGGUUGGAAAAAAAAAGCCAGUUGGACAAAAUGAGGAUGACACACAAGGUAACAGUCAUCUGACAAAUAAAACUUAACCAAAGUAAAGUAUUUGUACUUCAAUUCUGUCCACCACUGCCCAAGUUUAUAAAAGUAAGUUGGAAAAUGUCUUAAAACAUUAUACUGUAUAAUAUGUUAUUUGUAUAUUAUAUUGCUGUCUCAAGCUUUAAAUUUAAAAAUCAGCAUGUUUUCUUGUGGGUUCCCAUAUUAACACAAGACUGUGUAGUGUCAGCUGACAGAUGGUGACAAAGUUAAAGAACGUUUUGCAUAAUUUGCUGUAUUUCUGUUCUCAAAUCCUCCCUGCACUCUUUGGAGGGGGCAGCAUGUUUCUAGAGCAAAGUUGACCCACAGCAGAGGAGUUUAUGAAACAUUUGUCUAAGCAUUUGAUAAUAGUUGAUCUACAAAGCCAAGGAUGUGUGUACAUUCACCAAGGUUAGUGCCAAAGUCCCCUGCCUUGCAAAACAUUUAUGACCGCCACUCAUUCCACCAUUUUUUUAACGUUCCACAAUUACGUUGUUAAAAGUUAGUGUGGCAAUCAUAGUUUGUAGUUUUUUUCCGACAGCAAUUGUGGCCCCAAUUAAAGGGUACAAGAGGCGAUCCACAACUGAAUGGACAAAAACAAGUGUGGAACCUUUCAUUUAAUGUUUUGAUAGAAAAGUUUUAUGAAAAACAUUUGAUGAAAAAUAAUUUGCACAGGCAUCAAAACAUCGCUAGGGAGUUCACAGUUCUUUGGAAAAAGAGGAAAAGUAUGAUGAUGACCACAUACCAAGCGAUGACACAAUUAUUUUUGAAAAUGCUUUUAUUUAUCUAUUUCUUACUAUAAAUAUAACAAGGAAGAAAAAAUGUAUUUUUAAUACAACCCCUCAGAUAGAAGUCAGUCUUCAUAGGUCUACAAAGGUAAAGCACAUGUUGGCAAUAAGGCACAAACUAAGAGUUUGUAUGGUGACAGACGCUAUGGUUAAACUAGGCUUCUUUGUAAUGCAGCUCCACACCAAUGAGCGGUGUUGUCGUGUGGGUGAAAUGCAAGCAAAUGAAAAGAAA
Long non-coding RNA from Syngnathus acus (greater pipefish), 1221 nucleotides. RefSeq lists it as uncharacterized. The transcript has 2 exons. The record is from RefSeq and is a predicted model, not a curated record. Lineage: Eukaryota; Metazoa; Chordata; Actinopteri; Syngnathiformes; Syngnathidae.